CGGGCCUAACACAUGCAAGUCGAGCGGAGUUAACAAGAGGAAGUUUCGGAUGGAAUUUGUAAUUAGCGGCGGACGGUGAGUAACGCGUGAGCGACCAACCUUGCACAGGGGGAUAACGGACCGAAAGGUUCACUAAUACCGCAUGAGACCACGGUGUUGCAUGACACAGAGGUCAAAGGAGCAAUCCGGUGCAAGACGGGCUCGCGUCCGAUUAGGUAGUUGGUGGGGUAAUGGCCCACCAAGCCUAUGAUCGGUAGCCGACCUGAGAGGGUGAUCGGCCACAUUGGAACUGAGAUACGGUCCAAACUCCUACGGGAGGCAGCAGUGGGGAAUAUUGGGCAAAUGGGGGAAACCCUGACCCAGCAACGCCGCGUGAAGGAAGAAGGUUUUCGGAUUGUAAACUUCUGUCCUUGGUGAAGAGAAGAAGACGGUAGCCAAGGAGGAAGCCCCGGCUAACUACGUGCCAGCAGCCGC
RNAcentral lists this ribosomal RNA (474 nucleotides) under uncultured bacterium. RNAcentral's name for it is "bacterial SSU rRNA". It matches the Rfam family "Bacterial small subunit ribosomal RNA", at positions 43 to 518 of the family's 1533-position model. The record is from RNAcentral.